RNAcentral lists this ribosomal RNA (2347 nucleotides) under Actinomadura violacea. RNAcentral describes it as "Actinomadura sp. LCR2-06 partial 23S ribosomal RNA". It matches the Rfam family "Bacterial large subunit ribosomal RNA", at positions 591 to 2819 of the family's 2925-position model. Lineage: Bacteria; Bacillati; Actinomycetota; Actinomycetes; Streptosporangiales; Thermomonosporaceae. The record is from RNAcentral.
UGGUGAUGGCGUGCCUUUUGAAGAAUGAGCCUGCGAGUUAUGGUGUGUGGCGAGGUUAACCGGUGGCGGGUAGCCGUAGCGAAAGCGAGUCUGAAUAGGGCGAUUUAGUCGCAUGCUGUAGACCCGAAGCGGGGUGAUCUAGCCAUGGGCAGGGUGAAGCGCCGGUAAGACGGUGUGGAGGCCCGAACCCACCAGGGUUGAAAACCUGGGGGAUGACCUGUGGUUAGGGGUGAAAGGCCAAUCAAACUCCGUGAUAGCUGGUUCUCCCCGAAAUGCAUUUAGGUGCAGCGUCGCGUGUUUCUUGCCGGAGGUAGAGCUACUGGAUGGCUGAUGGGCCCUACCAGGUUACUGACGUCAGCCAAACUCCGAAUGCCGGUAAGUGAGAGCGUGGCAGUGAGACUGCGGGGGAUAAGCUUCGUAGUCGAGAGGGAAACAGCCCAGAUCAUCGGCUAAGGCCCCUAAGCGUGUGCUAAGUGGGAAAGGAUGUGGAGUUGCUGUGACAACCAGGAGGUUGGCUUAGAAGCAGCCACCCUUGAAAGAGUGCGUAAUAGCUCACUGGUCAAGUGAUUCCGCGCCGACAAUGUAGCGGGGCUCAAGCACACCGCCGAAGCCGUGGCAUUCCAGCUUGCUGGGAUGGGUAGGGGAGCGUCCUGCAGCCGGCGAAGCCGCCGAGUGAUCGAGUGGUGGAGGCUGUGGGAGUGAGAAUGCAGGCAUGAGUAGCGAAUGGAGAGUGAGAAACUCUCCCGCCGGAUGACCAAGGGUUCCUGGGGCAGGCUAAUCCGCCCAGGGUAAGUCGGGACCUAAGGCGAGGCCGACAGGCGUAGUCGAUGGACAACGGGUUGAUAUUCCCGUACCCGCUGGUAUGCGCCAACGCUGAAUCCUCUGAUGCUAACCAUCCGAACCGCCUUCGUUCCCUUCGGGGAGUGUUGGUUGGGGAGCAUGGGGCCCGAGGGGGUAGUAGGUGAGUGAUGGGGUGACGCAGGAGGGUAGCUCAGCCCAGGCGAUGGUUGUCCUGGGGUAAGCAUGUAGCCCGUGCCAUAGGUAAAUCCGUGGCGCGUUAAGGGUGAGAUGUGAUGCCGAGCCGUUUUAGGUGAAGUGAGUGAUCCCAUGCUGCCGAGAAAAGCCUCUAGCGAGUGUACCGGCGGCCCGUACCCUAAACCGACUCAGGUGGUCAGGUAGAGAAUACCAAGGCGAUCGGGUGAACUGUGGUUAAGGAACUCGGCAAAUUGCCCCCGUAACUUUGGGAGAAGGGGGACCAUGCCCGGUGACGGCACUUGCUGCCUGAGCUGGGGGUGGUCGCAGAGGCCAGGGGGAAGCGACUGUUUACUAAAAACACAGGUCCGUGCGAAGUCGUAAGACGCUGUAUACGGACUGACGCCUGCCCGGUGCCGGAACGUUAAGAGGACCGGUUAGAUCUCUUCGGGGGUCGAAGCUGAGAAUCUAAGCGCCGGUAAACGGCGGUGGUAACUAUAACCAUCCUAAGGUAGCGAAAUUCCUUGUCGGGUAAGUUCCGACCUGCACGAAUGGCGUAACGACUUCCCCGCUGUCUCAACCACAGGCCCGGUGAAAUUGCAGUACGAGUAAAGAUGCUCGUUUCGCGCAGCAGGACGGAAAGACCCCGGGACCUUCACUACAGCUUGGCAUUGGCGUUUGGAACGGUUUGUGUAGGAUAGGUGGGAGACUGUGAAGCCCGCACGCCAGUGUGGGUGGAGUCAUUGGUGAAAUACCACUCUGGUCGUUUUGAGCGUCUAACCCGCGCCCGUGUAUCCGGGUGGGGGACAGUGCCUGGUGGGUAGUUUAACUGGGGCGGUUGCCUCCUAAAGAGUAACGGAGGCGCCCAAAGGUUCCCUCAGCCUGGUUGGCAAUCAGGUGGCGAGUGCAAGGGCACAAGGGAGCUUGACUGUGAGACGGACGUGUCGAGCAGGUGCGAAAGCAGGGCCUAGUGAUCCGGCAUCUACGUGUGGAAGUGGUGUCGCUCAACGGCUAAAAGGUACCCCGGGGAUAACAGGCUGAUCUUCCCCAAGAGUCCAUAUCGACGGGAUGGUUUGGCACCUCGAUGUCGGCUCGUCGCAUCCUGGGGCUGGAGUAGGUCCCAAGGGUUGGGCUGUUCGCCCAUUAAAGCGGCACGCGAGCUGGGUUUAGAACGUCGCGAGACAGUUCGGUCCCUAUCCGCUGCGCGCGUAGGAGAAUUGAGAGGGUCUGUCCCUAGUACGAGAGGACCGGGACGGACGAACCUCUGGUGUGCCAGUUGUCCCGCCAGGGGCACGGCUGGUUGGCUACGUUCGGUCGGGAUAACCGCUGAAAGCAUCUAAGCGGGAAGCCUUCCUCGAGAUGAGUUCUCCCUCCC